RNAcentral lists this transfer RNA (84 nucleotides) under Anaerolineales bacterium. RNAcentral describes it as "tRNA-Leu". It matches the Rfam family "tRNA". From Rfam's summary of the family: Transfer RNA (tRNA) molecules are approximately 80 nucleotides in length. Their secondary structure includes four short double-helical elements and three loops (D, anti-codon, and T loops). Further hydrogen bonds mediate the characteristic L-shaped molecular structure. tRNAs have two regions of fundamental functional importance: the anti-codon, which is responsible for specific mRNA codon recognition, and the 3' end, to which the tRNAs corresponding amino acid is attached (by aminoacyl-tRNA synthetases). tRNAs cope with the degeneracy of the genetic code in two manners: having more than one tRNA (with a specific anti-codon) for a particular amino acid; and 'wobble' base-pairing, i.e. permitting non-standard base-pairing at the 3rd anti-codon position. The record is from RNAcentral. Lineage: Bacteria; Bacillati; Chloroflexota; Anaerolineae; Anaerolineales. RNAcentral also lists the same sequence under 3 other names.
GCCAGAGUGGCGGAACUGGCAGACGCGCGCGACUCAAACUCGCGUGUCCGUAAGGACUUGUGGGUUCGAUUCCCACCUCUGGCA